RNAcentral lists this ribosomal RNA (246 nucleotides) under uncultured bacterium. RNAcentral's name for it is "partial 16S ribosomal RNA". It matches the Rfam family "Bacterial small subunit ribosomal RNA", at positions 87 to 334 of the family's 1533-position model. The record is from RNAcentral.
UAUGGCGACCGGCGCACGGGUGAGUAACACGUAUCCAACCUGCCGAUGACUCGGGGAUAGCCUUUCGAAAGAAAGAUUAAUACCCGAUGGCAUAGUUCUUCCGCAUGGUAAAACUAUUAAAGAAUUUCGGUCAUCGAUGGGGAUGCGUUCCAUUAGGUUGUUGGCGGGGUAACGGCCCACCAAGCCUUCGAUGGAUAGGGGUUCUGAGAGGAAGGUCCCCCACAUUGGAACUGAGACACGGUCCAA